UACAGAGGUCCCGAGCGUUGUUCGGAUUCAUUGGGCGUAAAGGGUGCGUAGGCGGCGGAGCAAGUCUGAUGUGAAAUCCCGGGGCUCAACCCCGGAACUGCAUUGGAUACUGCUUUGCUAGAGUACUGGAGAGGGAACUGGAAUUUACGGUGUAGCAGUGAAAUGCGUAGAGAUCGUAAGGAAGGCCAGUGGCGAAGGCGAGUUCCUGGACAGUGACUGACGCUGAGGCACGAAGGCCAGGGGAGCAAACGGG
Molecule: ribosomal RNA, 253 nt
Filed under: uncultured bacterium
Lineage: Bacteria
Description: partial 16S ribosomal RNA
Rfam family: Bacterial small subunit ribosomal RNA
Source: RNAcentral